This 19-nucleotide ribosomal RNA is filed under the name Trametes pubescens. Its description in RNAcentral is "partial 18S ribosomal RNA". The record is from RNAcentral. Lineage: Eukaryota; Fungi; Basidiomycota; Agaricomycetes; Polyporales; Polyporaceae.
GAACCUGCGGAAGGCUCAU